Molecule: long non-coding RNA, 604 nt
Organism: Lutra lutra (Eurasian river otter)
Lineage: Eukaryota; Metazoa; Chordata; Mammalia; Carnivora; Mustelidae
Exons: 2
Source: RefSeq, a predicted model, not a curated record
GAAUGAAGUAGAUGUUCUACGGUGUGGCAGUGAUCACUGGCCCCAGAAUAUUCCUCAAACAAGAGUUUGGUCCAUGGAGCUGCAACACUGGCCUCACCUGCGAGCUGGAUAUGAAAGACCCACAGUGAAUAUUAUCCUCAAUGUGGAAGAACUGAGAGCUUCUCCCCUAAGGUCAGGAACAAGACAGAUAUGUCCACUCUCACCACUGUUGUUCAACAUGGCAGUACAAGUCCUUGCCUCAGCAAUCGACGAGGAAAAGAAAUUAAAGUCAUCCAAGCUGGCAAAGAAGUUAAACUUUCACUCUUUGGACACAACAUGAUACUCAAUGUAGAAAAUCUAAAGACUGCCAAAAAAUUGCUAGAACUGAUAACAGGCUUUCAGCAAAGUUGCAGGAUAUAAAAUCUAUGCACAGAAGUCAGUUGCAUUUCUAUACACUAGCAAUGAAACAGAAGAAAGAGAAAUCAAGGGAUUGAUCCCAUUUGCAAUUGUACCAAAAAACACAAAAUACAUAGGAAUAAACCUAACCAAAGAGGUAGAAGAUUCAGAAGGUAUUCUGAAAACUAUGUAACACUUAUGAAAGGAAUUGAGGAAGACACAAAGAAAU